This 496-nucleotide ribosomal RNA is filed under the name uncultured bacterium. RNAcentral's name for it is "partial 16S ribosomal RNA". It matches the Rfam family "Bacterial small subunit ribosomal RNA", at positions 28 to 506 of the family's 1533-position model. The record is from RNAcentral.
GAUGAACGCUGGCGGCGUGCCUAAUACAUGCAAGUCGAGCGAACAGACGAGGAGCUUGCUCCUCUGACGUUAGCGGCGGACGGGUGAGUAACACGUGGAUAACCUACCUAUAAGACUGGGAUAACUUCGGGAAACCGGAGCUAAUACCGGAUAAUAUAUUGAACCGCAUGGUUCAAUAGUGAAAGACGGUUUUGCUGUCACUUAUAGAUGGAUCCGCGCCGCAUUAGCUAGUUGGUAAGGUAACGGCUUACCAAGGCAACGAUGCGUAGCCGACCUGAGAGGGUGAUCGGCCACACUGGAACUGAGACACGGUCCAGACUCCAACGGGAGGCAGCAGUAGGGAAUCUUCCGCAAGGGGCGAAAGCCUGACGGAGCAACGCCGCGUGAGUGAUGAAGGUCUUCGGAUCGUAAAACUCUGUUAUUAGGGAAGAACAAAUGUGUAAGUAACUAUGCACGUCUUGACGGUACCUAAGCAGAAAGCCACGGCUAACUACGU